Molecule: ribosomal RNA, 377 nt
Filed under: uncultured bacterium
Lineage: Bacteria
Description: bacterial SSU rRNA
Rfam family: Bacterial small subunit ribosomal RNA
Source: RNAcentral
GAGUUUGAUCCUGGCUCAGAUUGAACGCUGGCGGCAGGCCUAACACAUGCAAGUCGAGCGGUAGAGAGAAGCUUGCUUCUCUUGAGAGCGGCGGACGGGUGAGUAAUGCCUAGGAAUCUGCCUGGUAGUGGGGGAUAACGCUCGGAAACGGACGCUAAUACCGCAUACGUCCUACGGGAGAAAGCAGGGGACCUUCGGGCCUUGCGCUAUCAGAUGAGCCUAGGUCGGAUUAGCUAGUUGGUGAGGUAAUGGCUCACCAAGGCGACGAUCCGUAACCGGUCUGAGAGGAUGAUCAGUCACACUGGAACUGAGACACGGUCCAGACUCCUACGGGAGGCAGCAGUGGGGAAUAGUUGGACAAUGGGCGAAAGCCUGAU